GAAAUGCGAUAAGUAAUGUGAAUUGCAGAAUUCAGUGAAUCAUCGAAUCUUUGAACGCACCUUGCGCUCCUUGGUAUUCCUUGGAGCAUGCCUGUUUGAGUAUCAUGAAAUCUUCAAAGUAAAUCUUUUGUUAACUCAAUUGGUUUCUACUUUGGUAUUGGAGGUCUUUGCAGCUUCACACCUGCGCCUCUUUGUUCAUUAGCUGGAUCUCAGUGUUAUGCUUGGUUCCACUCGGCGUGAUAAGUUAUCUAUCGCUGAGGACACUGUAAAAGGUGGCCAAGGUAAAUGCAGAUGAACCGCUUCUAAUAGUCCAUUGACUUGGACAAUACUUUUAUGAUCUGAUCUCAAAUCAGGUAGGACUACCCGCUGAACUUAAGC
RNAcentral lists this unclassified non-coding RNA (378 nucleotides) under plant metagenome. RNAcentral's name for it is "partial contains 5.8S ribosomal RNA, internal transcribed spacer 2, and large subunit ribosomal RNA". The stretch from base 1 to 105 matches the Rfam family "5.8S ribosomal RNA", at positions 50 to 154 of the family's 154-position model. The record is from RNAcentral.